RNAcentral lists this transfer RNA (57 nucleotides) under Ascaridia sp. GHL-2013. RNAcentral describes it as "tRNA-His". Lineage: Eukaryota; Metazoa; Nematoda; Chromadorea; Rhabditida; Ascaridiidae. The record is from RNAcentral.
AGCCUUUGUUGUUUUGAUUGAAAAUGUCUGUUUGUGGUUCAGGGGAUGUGGGGCUAU